RNAcentral lists this ribosomal RNA (253 nucleotides) under uncultured bacterium. RNAcentral describes it as "partial 16S ribosomal RNA". It matches the Rfam family "Bacterial small subunit ribosomal RNA", at positions 524 to 776 of the family's 1533-position model. The record is from RNAcentral.
UACGUAGGGUGCAAGCGUUGUCCGGAAUUAUUGGGCGUAAAGAGCUCGUAGGCGGUUUGUCGCGCCUGCUGUGAAAUCCCGAGGCUCAACCUCGGGCCUGCAGUGGGUACGGGCAGACUAGAGUGCGGUAGGGGAGAUUGGAAUUCCUGGUGUAGCGGUGGAAUGCGCAGAUAUCAGGAGGAACACCGAUGGCGAAGGCAGAUCUCUGGGCCGUAACUGACGCUGAGGAGCGAAAGCGUGGGGAGCGAACAGG